GACGAACGCUGGCGGCGUGCUUAACACAUGCAAGUCGAACGAUGAAGCCUUAGCUUGCUUUGGCGGAUUAGUGGCGAACGGGUGAGUAACACGUGAGCAACGUGCCCAGGACUCUGGAAUAACCGCGGGAAACCGUGGCUAAUAUCGGAUAGGUGAUGAUGACGCACGGUCUUCGGUUGGAAAGUUUUUGCGGUUUUGGAUAGUCUCAUGGGCUAUCAGCUCGUUGGUGGGGUAAUGGCCUACCAAGGGGGCGACGGGUAGCCGACCUGAGAAGGUGACCGGGCACACGGGGACUGAGACAGGGCCCAGUCGGCAACGGGAGGCAAAGGUGGGGAAUAUUACGGAAUGGGCGCAAGCCUGAUGCAGCAGCGCCGGGAGGGGAAUGACGGCUUUCGGGUUGUAAACCUCUUUGUAUAGAAAAAAAGCGGAAGUGACGGUACCUACAGAAAAAGCACCGGCUAACUACGUG
This 469-nucleotide ribosomal RNA is filed under the name uncultured bacterium. Its description in RNAcentral is "partial 16S ribosomal RNA". It matches the Rfam family "Bacterial small subunit ribosomal RNA", at positions 28 to 507 of the family's 1533-position model. The record is from RNAcentral.